RNAcentral lists this ribosomal RNA (497 nucleotides) under uncultured bacterium. Its description in RNAcentral is "partial 16S ribosomal RNA". It matches the Rfam family "Bacterial small subunit ribosomal RNA", at positions 28 to 507 of the family's 1533-position model. The record is from RNAcentral.
GAUGAACGCUGGCGGCGUGCCUAAUACAUGCAAGUCGAGCGAACAGACGAGGAGCUUGCUCCUCUUACGUUAGCGGCGGACGGGUGAGUAACACGUGGAUAACCUACCUAUAAGACUGGGAUAACUUCGGGAAACCGGAGCUAAUACCGGAUAAUAUAUUGAACCUCAUGGUUCAUUAGUGAAAGACGGUUUUGCUGUCACUUAUAGAUGGAUCCGCGCCGCAUUAGCUAGUUGGUAAGGUAACGGCUUACCAAGGCAACGAUGCGUAGCCGACCUGAGAGGGUGAUCGGCCACACUGGAACUGAGACACGGUCCAGACUCCUACGGGAGGCAGCAGUAGGGAAUCUUCCGCAAUGGGCGAAAGCCUGACGGAGCAACGCCGCGUGAGUGAUGAAGGUCUUCGGAUCGUAAAACUCUGUUAUUAGGGAAGAACAAAUGUGUAAGUAACUAUGCACGUCUUGACGGUACCUAAUCAGAAAGCCACGGCUAACUACGUG